UACAGAGACUGCAAGCGUUAUUCGGAUUCAUUGGGCGUAAAGGGUGCGUAGGCGGCGCGGUAAGUCGGGUGUGAAAUCUCGGGGCUUAACUCGGAAAGGUCAACUGAUACUGUGCGACUAGAGUGCAGAAGGGGCAACUGGAAUUCUCGGUGUAGCGGUGAAAUGCGUAGAUAUCGAGAGGAACACCAGUGGCGAAGGCGAGUCUCUGGACACUUCCUGACGCUGAGGCACGAAAGCCAGGGGAGCAAACGGG
RNAcentral lists this ribosomal RNA (253 nucleotides) under uncultured bacterium. Its description in RNAcentral is "partial 16S ribosomal RNA". It matches the Rfam family "Bacterial small subunit ribosomal RNA", at positions 524 to 776 of the family's 1533-position model. The record is from RNAcentral.